CCUACGGGGGGCAGCAGUGAGGAAUAUUGGUCAAUGGACGAGAGUCUGAACCAGCCAAGUAGCGUGAAGGAUGACUGCCCUAUGGGUUGUAAACUUCUUUUAUAUGGGAAUAAAAUGUUCCACGUGUGGGAUUUUGUAUGUACCAUAUGAAUAAGGAUCGGCUAACUCCGUGCCAGCAGCCGCGGUAAUACGGAGGAUCCGAGCGUUAUCCGGAUUUAUUGGGUUUAAAGGGAGCGUAGGUGGAUUGUUAAGUCAGUUGUGAAAGUUUGCGGGUCAACCGUAAAAUUGCAGUUGAAACUGGCAGUCUUGAGUACAGUAGAGGUGGGCGGAAUUCGUGGUGUAGCGGUGAAAUGCUUAGAUGUCACGAAGAACUCCGAUUGCGAAGGCAGUUCACUGGACUGCAACUGACACUGAGGCUCGAAAGUGUGGGUAUCAAACAGGAUUAGAUACCCCGGUAGUC
This 460-nucleotide ribosomal RNA is filed under the name uncultured bacterium. RNAcentral's name for it is "partial 16S ribosomal RNA". It matches the Rfam family "Bacterial small subunit ribosomal RNA", at positions 338 to 795 of the family's 1533-position model. The record is from RNAcentral.